AAUCCAUAGGUUAAUGAGGCGAACCGGGGGAACUGAAACAUCUAAGUACCCCGAGGAAAAGAAAUCAACCGAGAUUCCCCCAGUAGCGGCGAGCGAACGGGGAGGAGCCCAGAGCCUGAAUCAGCAUGUGUGUUAGUGGAAGCGUCUGGAAAGGCGCGCGAUACAGGGUGACAGCCCCGUACACAAAAGCGCAUGUGCUGUGAGCUCGAUGAGUAGGGCGGGACACGUGGUAUCCUGUCUGAAUAUGGGGGGACCAUCCUCCAAGGCUAAAUACUCCUGACUGACCGAUAGUGAACCAGUACCGUGAGGGAAAGGCGAAAAGAACCCCGGCGAGGGGAGUGAAAAAGAACCUGAAACCGUGUACGUACAAGCAGUGGGAGCCCCACCACUAAGCCAGUGGUGAACUCCACAUACGCAUCCUUUGCUGAGGAUACGGUUAACGGAGCGAAAGCGACGUUCAACCUCAAAAGAAGCAGAGGGGGCUUAGUGGUGGGGUGACUGCGUACCUUUUGUAUAAUGGGUCAGCGACUUAUAUUCUGUAGCAAGGUUAACCGAAUAGGGGAGCCGGAGGGAAACCGAGUCUUAAUUGGGCGUUAAGUUGCAGGGUAUAGACCCGAAACCCGGUGAUCUAGCCAUGGGCAGGUUGAAGGUUGGGUAACACUAACUGGAGGACCGAACCGACUAAUGUUGAAAAAUUAGCGGAUGACCUGUGGCUGGGGGUGAAAGGCCAAUCAAACCGGGAGAUAGCUGGUUCUCCCCGAAAGCUAUUUAGGUAGCGCCUCGUGAAUUCAUCUCCGGGGGUAGAGCACUGUUUCGGCUAGGGGGCCAUCCCGGCUUACCAACCCGAUGCAAACUGCGAAUACCGGAGAAUGUUAUCACGGGAGACACACGGCGGGUGCUAACGUCCGUCGUGAAGAGGGAAACAACCCAGACCGCCAGCUAAGGUCCCAAAGUCAUGGUUAAGUGGGAAACGAUGUGGGAAGGCCCAGACAGCCAGGAUGUUGGCUUAGAAGCAGCCAUCAUUUAAAGAAAGCGUAAUAGCUCACUGGUCGAGUCGGCCUGCGCGGAAGAUGUAACGGGGCUAAACCAUGCACCGAAGCUGCGGCAGCGACACUCAGGUGUUGUUGGGUAGGGGAGCGUUCUGUAAGCCUGCGAAGGUGGCCUGUGAGGGUUGCUGGAGGUAUCAGAAGUGCGAAUGCUGACAUAAGUAACGAUAAAGCGGGUGAAAAGCCCGCUCGCCGGAAGACCAAGGGUUCCUGUCCAACGUUAAUCGGGGCAGGGUGAGUCGACCCCUAAGGCGAGGCCGAAAGGCGUAGUCGAUGGGAAACGGGUUAAUAUUCCCGUACUUGGUGUUACUGCGAAGGGGGGACGGAGAAGGCUAUGUUGGCCGGGCGACGGUUGUCCCGGUUUAAGCGUGUAGGUGUGUGUUCCAGGUAAAUCCGGUUCACUUUAACACUGAGGCGUGAUGACGAGGCACUACGGUGCUGAAGCAACAAAUGCCCUGCUUCCAGGAAAAGCCUCUAAGCAUCAGGUAACAUCAAAUCGUACCCCAAACCGACACAGGUGGUCAGGUAGAGAAUACCAAGGCGCUUGAGAGAACUCGGGUGAAGGAACUAGGCAAAAUGGUGCCGUAACUUCGGGAGAAGGCACGCUGACACGUAGGUGAAGUGAUUUACUCACGGAGCUGAAGUCAGUCGAAGAUACCAGCUGGCUGCAACUGUUUAUUAAAAACACAGCACUGUGCAAACACGAAAGUGGACGUAUACGGUGUGACGCCUGCCCGGUGCCGGAAGGUUAAUUGAUGGGGUCAGCGCAAGCGAAGCUCCUGAUCGAAGCCCCGGUAAACGGCGGCCGUAACUAUAACGGUCCUAAGGUAGCGAAAUUCCUUGUCGGGUAAGUUCCGACCUGCACGAAUGGCGUAAUGAUGGCCAGGCUGUCUCCACCCGAGACUCAGUGAAAUUGAACUCGCUGUGAAGAUGCAGUGUACCCGCGGCAAGACGGAAAGACCCCGUGAACCUUUACUAUAGCUUGACACUGAACAUUGAGCCUUGAUGUGUAG
RNAcentral lists this ribosomal RNA (2059 nucleotides) under Salmonella enterica subsp. enterica serovar Newport. RNAcentral describes it as "partial 23S ribosomal RNA". It matches the Rfam family "Bacterial large subunit ribosomal RNA", at positions 161 to 2141 of the family's 2925-position model. The record is from RNAcentral. Lineage: Bacteria; Pseudomonadati; Pseudomonadota; Gammaproteobacteria; Enterobacterales; Enterobacteriaceae.